This is a transfer RNA of 73 nucleotides. It matches the Rfam family "tRNA". From Rfam's summary of the family: Transfer RNA (tRNA) molecules are approximately 80 nucleotides in length. Their secondary structure includes four short double-helical elements and three loops (D, anti-codon, and T loops). Further hydrogen bonds mediate the characteristic L-shaped molecular structure. tRNAs have two regions of fundamental functional importance: the anti-codon, which is responsible for specific mRNA codon recognition, and the 3' end, to which the tRNAs corresponding amino acid is attached (by aminoacyl-tRNA synthetases). tRNAs cope with the degeneracy of the genetic code in two manners: having more than one tRNA (with a specific anti-codon) for a particular amino acid; and 'wobble' base-pairing, i.e. permitting non-standard base-pairing at the 3rd anti-codon position. The record is from Rfam.
GGUCCAAUAGUAUAACUGGAUAGUACUCCCGCCUCCUAAGCGGAUGAUCCCGGUUCGAACCCGGGUUGGACCA